RNAcentral lists this ribosomal RNA (567 nucleotides) under uncultured bacterium. Its description in RNAcentral is "partial 16S ribosomal RNA". It matches the Rfam family "Bacterial small subunit ribosomal RNA", at positions 355 to 913 of the family's 1533-position model. The record is from RNAcentral.
UGGGGAAUAUUGGACAAUGGGCGCAAGCCUGAUCCAGCAAUGCCGCGUGUGUGAAGAAGGCCUUCGGGUUGUAAAGCACUUUUAUCAGGAGCGAAACGCUGUCGGCUAAUACCCGGCGGAACUGACGGUACCUGAGGAAUAAGCACCGGCUAACUUCGUGCCAGCAGCCGCGGUAAUACGAAGGGUGCAAGCGUUAAUCGGAAUUACUGGGCGUAAAGCGUGCGUAGGCGGUUUCUUAAGUCUGCUGUGAAAUCCCCGGGCUCAACCUGGGAAUGGCAGUGGAUACUGGGAGGCUAGAGUGUGUCAGAGGGUGGUGGAAUUCCCGGUGUAGCGGUGAAAUGCGUAGAGAUCGGGAGGAACAUCAGUGGCGAAGGCGGCCACCUGGGACAACACUGACGCUGAGGCACGAAAGCGUGGGGAGCAAACAGGAUUAGAUACCCUGGUAGUCCACGCCCUAAACGAUGCGAACUGGAUGUUGGUCUCAACUCGGAGAUCAGUGUCGAAGCUAACGCGUUAAGUUCGCCGCCUGGGGAGUACGGUCGCAAGACUGAAACUCAAAUGAAUUGA